Alosa sapidissima (American shad) is the source of this 435-nucleotide long non-coding RNA. RefSeq lists it as uncharacterized. The transcript has 3 exons. NCBI's taxonomy places the organism in Eukaryota, Metazoa, Chordata, Actinopteri, Clupeiformes, Clupeidae. The record is from RefSeq and is a predicted model, not a curated record.
UGUGUGUGUGUGAUGUGUGUGUGUGUGUGUGUGUAUAUGUGUGUGUGUGUGUGUGUGUGUGUGGUUGCUCUCUAAUUGGAUUGCAAUGUUUUUGUCAGUCCCUUCCUCUACCAGUCCCUUUGUGAGAGAAGAGGAAGUGUGUGUGUGUGUGUGUGUGUGUUGACUUUGGGUUAGGUUUAAGUGUGUGUAUGUUGGUUUAAGUGUGUGUGUGUGUGUGUGUGUGUUGGUUUAAGUUGUGCUUGCUGUUGCCGUCUCUGUCCUCCCAAAAAUGUUCCCAGGGGAAUCAGGACUCAGUUGUCUCAAUUCACAUUGAAAUGAGUGCACUGUAGUGUGUGUGUGUGUGUGUGUGUGUGUGUGUAGUAGAGAUGCGCGGAUGGACUAUUAUUUCAACCGUAACCGCAUAGCAAAACUUAUCAUCCAUCCGCACCAACGUUU